UAGCGGCGGACGGGUGAGUAACACGUGGGUAACCUGCCUCAUAGAGGGGCAAUAGCCUCCCGAAAGGGAGAUUUAAUACCGCAUAACACUGCGGUUUCGCAUGAAACUGCAGUUAAAGGAGCAAUCCGCUAUGAGAUGGACCCGCGGCGCAUUAGCUAGUUGGUGAGGUAAAGGCUCACCAAGGCCACGAUGCGUAGCCGACCUGAGAGGGUGAUCGGCCACAUUGGAACUUGAGACACGGUCCAGACUCCUACGGAGGCAGCAGUGGGGAAUAUUGCACAAUGGCCGAAAGCCUGAUGCAGCACGCGGCGUGAAGGAUGAAUGCCUUCGGGUUGUAACUCUUGUCUUCUGGGACGAUAUGACGGUACCAGAGAGAAGCACGCUACUCGUGCAGCAGCGCGUAAUCGUAGUGCGAGCGUGCCGAUUACUGGCGUAGGAUGCGUAGCGAAUU
RNAcentral lists this ribosomal RNA (451 nucleotides) under uncultured prokaryote. Its description in RNAcentral is "bacterial SSU rRNA". It matches the Rfam family "Bacterial small subunit ribosomal RNA", at positions 93 to 541 of the family's 1533-position model. The record is from RNAcentral.